UACGAAGGGGGCUAGCGUUGUUCGGAAUUACUGGGCGUAAAGCGCGCGCAGGCGGCUAUCCAAGUCAGUGGUGAAAGCCCGGAGCUUAACUCCGGAACUGCCAUUGAAACUGUUUAGCUUGAGGACGAGAGAGGUGAGUGGAAUUCCCAGUGUAGAGGUGAAAUUCGUAGAUAUUGGGAAGAACACCGGUGGCGAAGGCGGCUCACUGGCUCGUUUCUGACGCUCAGGCGCGACAGCGUGGGGAUCAAACAGG
This 253-nucleotide ribosomal RNA is filed under the name uncultured bacterium. Its description in RNAcentral is "partial 16S ribosomal RNA". It matches the Rfam family "Bacterial small subunit ribosomal RNA", at positions 524 to 776 of the family's 1533-position model. The record is from RNAcentral.